UACGUAGGGGGCGAGCGUUGUCCGGAUUUAUUGGGCGUAAAGAGCGUGUAGGCGGCCAGGUAGGUCUGCUGUGAAAACUCGAGGCUCAACCUCGAGACGUCGGCGGAAACCAUCUGGCUAGAGUCCGGAAGAGGAGAGUGGAAUUCCUGGUGGAGCGGUGAAAUGCGCAGAGAUCAGGAGGAACACCCGUAGCGAAGGCGGCACUCUGGGCCGAUACUGACACUGAGGAGCGAAAGCGUGGGGAGCGAACAGG
RNAcentral lists this ribosomal RNA (253 nucleotides) under uncultured bacterium. RNAcentral's name for it is "partial 16S ribosomal RNA". It matches the Rfam family "Bacterial small subunit ribosomal RNA", at positions 524 to 776 of the family's 1533-position model. The record is from RNAcentral.